Non-coding RNA from Thermochaetoides thermophila DSM 1495, 72 nucleotides. NCBI's taxonomy places the organism in Eukaryota, Fungi, Ascomycota, Sordariomycetes, Sordariales, Chaetomiaceae. The record is from the annotation of a RefSeq genome assembly.
GGUCGAGUGGCGCAAUGGUAGCGUGUGGUCCUCCUAAGACUGAGGUUGUGGGUUCGAGUCCCAUCUCGAUCG